Molecule: long non-coding RNA, 314 nt
Filed under: Phoenix dactylifera (date palm)
Lineage: Eukaryota; Viridiplantae; Streptophyta; Magnoliopsida; Arecales; Arecaceae
Description: long non-coding RNA (PDAC_LNC017382)
Source: RNAcentral
CCCAACUACCAUUAGGUACACAGUACGCGUACAACAAAGCGAACAUGGCAUCAUGAUACGGCCGCUUAUUUAGUUCAUACGCCCAUUUCAAGGCAGUAUAUGCGAGGAUGUCGCACCCGCUGCAGCCAUUACUAGUAGUACACCUACGAUUUUACUCUGCAGCUAUGGGGCCGGGGGUCCACAACCUUUAGGCUUCCCGCACGGGAUAGGAAGUGGGCUGUGUUGAAGAUUGCCGUGGGGAGAAGGAGGCCCCAAGGGGCCCGUACGAUAUGGGACGGCUUGCGUGGCAUCCACAGGCGUCUGGCCACCAGUUC